Molecule: long non-coding RNA, 357 nt
Filed under: Cucumis sativus (cucumber)
Lineage: Eukaryota; Viridiplantae; Streptophyta; Magnoliopsida; Cucurbitales; Cucurbitaceae
Description: long non-coding RNA (CSAT_LNC000841)
Source: RNAcentral
UCUGGUUCUUCAUCCACAUCGAAUUGUGUUCUUAACAUCUCUGAUUUCUUCAAUUCCGAUGAAAUCUUCCAAUUCUCCUCUGAUUUGAUGCCAACCCAGUCGUCGUCUGUGUCUUCAAACGACGAUUUCUUUGGAUUUGAGAUGAAACCUAACGUUAUCGAUCUAACAACACCGAAAUCGACUGAGUUAGUUGAGUUUGAGAUGAAACCUAGAGUUUUUGAGGAUUUUAAUUCGAGGACUCGGUAUAGUAAUAGUUCGAUUGAAGUUGAAUCGAAGAUUAGUCAGGUAACGAAUUCGAAUCGGAAACGAGCGAAUUUAAAGAUCUCCCUUCCGAAUAAGACAACGCAAUGGAUUAAU